This 253-nucleotide ribosomal RNA is filed under the name uncultured bacterium. Its description in RNAcentral is "partial 16S ribosomal RNA". It matches the Rfam family "Bacterial small subunit ribosomal RNA", at positions 524 to 776 of the family's 1533-position model. The record is from RNAcentral.
UACGAAGGGGGCUAGCGUUGCUCGGAAUUACUGGGCGUAAAGCGCACGUAGGCGGCUUGUUAAGUCGGAGGUGAAAUCCUGGAGCUCAACUCCAGAACUGCCUUCGAUACUGGCGAGCUCGAGUCCGGGAGAGGUGAGUGGAACUGCGAGUGUAGAGGUGAAAUUCGUAGAUAUUCGCAAGAACACCAGUGGCGAAGGCGGCUCACUGGCCCGGUACUGACGCUGAGGUGCGAAAGCGUGGGGAGCAAACAGG